CCUACGGGUAGCAGCAGUGGGGAAUAUUGGACAAUGGGGGGAACCCUGAUCCAGCCAUGCCGCGUGUGUGAAGAAGGCCCUCGGGUUGUAAAGCACUUUCAGUGAGGAAGAACGCCUGGUGGUUAAUACCCAUCAGGAAAGACAUCACUCACAGAAGAAGCACCGGCUAACUCCGUGCCAGCAGCCGCGGUAAUACGGAGGGUGCGAGCGUUAAUCGGAAUUACUGGGCGUAAAGCGCGCGUAGGUGGCUUGAUAAGCCGGUUGUGAAAGCCCCGGGCUCAACCUGGGAACGGCAUCCGGAACUGUCAAGCUAGAGUGCAGGAGAGGAAGGUAGAAUUCCCGGUGUAGCGGUGAAAUGCGUAGAGAUCGGGAGGAAGACCAGUGGCGAAGGCGGCCUUCUGGACUGACACUGACACUGAGGUGCGAAAGCGUGGGUAGCAAACAGGAUUAGAUACCCUAGUAGUC
Molecule: ribosomal RNA, 465 nt
Filed under: Vreelandella stevensii
Lineage: Bacteria; Pseudomonadati; Pseudomonadota; Gammaproteobacteria; Oceanospirillales; Halomonadaceae
Description: partial 16S ribosomal RNA
Rfam family: Bacterial small subunit ribosomal RNA
Source: RNAcentral